RNAcentral lists this ribosomal RNA (460 nucleotides) under uncultured bacterium. RNAcentral's name for it is "partial 16S ribosomal RNA". It matches the Rfam family "Bacterial small subunit ribosomal RNA", at positions 338 to 795 of the family's 1533-position model. The record is from RNAcentral.
CCUACGGGAGGCAGCAGUGAGGAAUAUUGGUCAAUGGACGGAAGUCUGAACCAGCCAUGCCGCGUGCAGGAAGACGGCUCUAUGAGUUGUAAACUGCUUUUGUACAAGGGUAAACCUGAAUACGUGUAUUCAGCUGAAAGUACUGUACGUAUAAGGAUCGGCGAACUCCGGGCCAGCAGCCGCGGUAAUACGGAGGAACCAAGCGUUCGCCGGAUUUAUUGGGGUUAAAGGGUGCGUAGGCGGAUUGAUAAGUUAGAGGUGAAAUGUCCGGGCUUAACUCGUGGACUGCCUCGUAUACGGUUGAUCUAGAGAGUAGGUGCGGUAGGCGGAAUGUAUGGUGUAGCGGUGAAAUGCUGAGAGAUCAUGAAGAACACCGAUUGCGAAGGCAGCUUACCAAUCUAUAUCUGACGUUGAGGCACGAAAGCGUGGGGAGCAAACAGGAUUAGAUACCCCAGUAGUC